UACGGGGGGUGCAAGCGUUAUCCGGAAUGAUUGGGCGUAAAGAGCUCGUAGGCGGCUCGUCGCGUCGACCGUGAAAACCCGCGGCUUAACUGCGGGCUUGCGGUUGAUACGGGCGGGCUAGAGUUCGGUAGGGGAGACUGGAAUUCCUGGUGUAGCGGUGAAAUGCGCAGAUAUCAGGAGGAACACCGGUGGCGAAGGCGGGUCUCUGGGCCAAUACUGACGCUGAGGAGCGAAAGCGUGGGGAGCGAACAGG
RNAcentral lists this ribosomal RNA (253 nucleotides) under uncultured bacterium. RNAcentral's name for it is "partial 16S ribosomal RNA". It matches the Rfam family "Bacterial small subunit ribosomal RNA", at positions 524 to 776 of the family's 1533-position model. The record is from RNAcentral.